This 249-nucleotide ribosomal RNA is filed under the name Salmonella enterica. RNAcentral's name for it is "partial 16S ribosomal RNA". It matches the Rfam family "Bacterial small subunit ribosomal RNA", at positions 1 to 246 of the family's 1533-position model. RNAcentral also lists the same sequence under 1 other name. The record is from RNAcentral. Lineage: Bacteria; Pseudomonadati; Pseudomonadota; Gammaproteobacteria; Enterobacterales; Enterobacteriaceae.
AAAUUGAAGAGUUUGAUCAUGGCUCAGAUUGAACGCUGGCGGCAGGCCUAACACAUGCAAGUCGAACGGUAACAGGAAGCAGCUUGCUGCUUCGCUGACGAGUGGCGGACGGGUGAGUAAUGUCUGGGAAACUGCCUGAUGGAGGAGGAUAACUACUGGAAACGGUGGCUAAUACCGCAUAACGUCGCAAGACCAAAGAGGGGGACCUUCGGGCCUCUUGCCAUCAGAUGUGCCCAGAUGGGAUUAGCU